CUCCAAUAUCCUCCUCAUAUCUUUCCUCGCAGCCACUUGUUGUUGAACCAGUACUUGCAUUAACUGAGCUGCAGUAACUUGUUCUCCAAAUUGAAUUUCAGAUUCUCCUAGAGUUUCUUCCCUAGGAGUGACCUCUGCAGGCUCAGUAGGAUGUUCUUGUUGUAGUGCAUCAUCAAUCGGUGAGGGUGGAGCAUUUUCUUGUUGCAAAGCUG
Molecule: long non-coding RNA, 212 nt
Filed under: Elaeis guineensis (African oil palm)
Lineage: Eukaryota; Viridiplantae; Streptophyta; Magnoliopsida; Arecales; Arecaceae
Description: long non-coding RNA (EGUI_LNC071063)
Source: RNAcentral